This 440-nucleotide ribosomal RNA is filed under the name uncultured bacterium. RNAcentral's name for it is "partial 16S ribosomal RNA". It matches the Rfam family "Bacterial small subunit ribosomal RNA", at positions 338 to 795 of the family's 1533-position model. The record is from RNAcentral.
CCUACGGGUGGCUGCAGUGGGGAAUAUUGCACAAUGGGGGAAACCCUGAUGCAGCAACGCAGCGUGAGUGAAGAAGUAUUUCGGUAUGUAAAGCCCUAUCAGCAGGGAAGAAAAUGACAGUACCUGACUAAGAAGCCCCGGCUAACUACGUGCCAGCAGCCGGGGUAAUACGUCGGGGGCAAGCGUUAGCCGGAUUUACUGGGUGUAAAGGGAGCGUAGACGGCUGCGCAAGUCAGAAGUGAAAGCACGGGGCUCAAACGGGGGACUGCUUUUGAAACUGUGUAGCUAGAGUGCAGGAGAGGUAAGUGGAAUUCCUGGUGUAGCGGUGAAAUGCGUAGAUAUGAGGAGGAACACCGGUGGCGAAGGCGGCUUACUGGACUGUAACUGACGUUGAGGCUCGAAGGCGUGGGGAGCAAACAGGAUUAGAUACCCUGGUAGUC